Molecule: long non-coding RNA, 5343 nt
Filed under: Phoenix dactylifera (date palm)
Lineage: Eukaryota; Viridiplantae; Streptophyta; Magnoliopsida; Arecales; Arecaceae
Description: long non-coding RNA (PDAC_LNC004212)
Source: RNAcentral
UUAAACUACAUGUUUUCUCUAUCAGUUUAUCAAAUGAAGUCAGUUUCAUCCGAGAGAAGUCUUGUUUGCAUGCUGCAAUUGGUGCAAGAGUAGUUCCAGGUCCUUCCAUGGGCUUUGUAUCAAGUGAUGAACUGAAAAGGAUUAACAAGAUACAAGACUUAGAAGAAGCAUCAAGAAGAUAUUAUUAGGCAGUAGUUUUAGUUCUCAGAAGAAUGCAGAUAUCUAAUCUGUACAUAUCAAGAAAAGAUAUUAUGCGACUUUUACAACUAAGUGUACUUUUUCUGGUUACCUUUUAUCUGUAUCAGGAACUGGCUCAUCACCAAUCCCUGAAACAUGAAGAUGAUAAUCCGAGUCCAACUCCCAAAGAGCUGGUUUUCCCUCUUGUGGUUGAAAGUAACCUAAAAAUCUGGUACCAUCACCAAAACAAAGAAAUAAAAACGGACAUGGUUAAAAUUUAUUAUUAAACAAUAAAAACAGAAGAUGGUUAAAAUUGAUUAUUAAACCCAAAUGCCAGUCUCCAUCAAUAGAGGUAUGUCUCAUUAGAAAAUGGCAGGGAACUGAUCAAGGGCAAAACUAUGUGUAAGUAUUAGCAUCAAUGUUGUAUUAUGAGGGAAAUGUACAGGUUUAUCGCAUCUUGCUUUUCACCAUCUGUGUAGGUAUUGCUGUAGUAUCUCUUGAUGGAUUUCAGAAACUCACGAGACUGUGUAGUAGCCCUCCACUUGCCUUGCCUCUCAGGGAAAACCUAGAACAAGUAUACUUUCAUGUCAACAAAAAUAUGUGUGUGUGUGUGUGUGUGUGUGUGUGUGUGUGUGUGUGUGAGAGAGAGAGAGAGAGAGAGAGAGAGAGAGAAGAAGANNNNNNNNNNNNNNNNNNNNGUGUGUGUGUGUGUGUGUGUGUGUGUAGUGUAGUAGAGAGAGAGAGAGAGAGAGAGAGAGAGAGAGAGAGAGAGAGAAAGAGAAUUCAACUUAUUGCAUCGGAAAAGAAGUAAACGACAAGAAAAUGAAAGUUUGACAAUCAAUAAAUAUGCUCAAUUUUAAGAAAAACCGCACAGUAUUAUGUGCUGCAGAGCCACCAUAUUGCUGAGCAAGUGCAUCACCCAUACUCUGGUACAUAUCCAUAAGAGCUGCAGCAAUGCUGCUAUCUGGAUCCACUUUAGGAAUGUCUGUAAGUCCCAUCGCCUGGAGUUGGCGACCUAAGGCUGCUAGGCCAUAAGCAUACUGGGCAACAUUUGUACGAUCCAAGCAAUCAAUGCAGUUCGUGCGCAGAACUCCACUUUGGAAACGAGGUCCAUCACCUAUUGAAUGACGAUUUAACUCUUUCUGUCUAUCCUGAUUAGCCAAAGGGUUUGUUGUUUCAAAGUUACUAGGCAUCCUUGAAAGAUCUCCUGAACUAGCUCUGACAUCACUAAGGGAACCAUCCCUGUAAAGAACAUUGAUAAACACAGUGUAGGUUACAUGUUUUUGCUGAAAAUUUCAAUGCUACAGCACCAUUAACAGCAUAUCAUCCACAAAAUGUCAUUAACUGUUAUACCAUCUGAAAAGAAAGUAAUAUGAGUUGGGAUUUAAUAUGAGUAGAUUAGGUUAAGCUGAGCUAGUAAGUAACAUGAGUUGAAAAAAUUUAGACAAAGAUUUUUUUUUAUUUAUUUACUAUGAUUUUACAUGUUUCUUAACAGAUAAAUAUUACAAAGGGCAAUGAAGACUUGUACACUUAACAUAUUAUUCCUUAAAUCAAUGACAUUUUAAAAGUUGAUUAGGACUAGUUUCUGUAUUAAGAAUAUAAAGAUCUAUCCUCUUUAAGACUCCAGUUUGUGGAGUAUAAUAUCUACACACAGCUCCAAAUUCUGUAAUUUUGAGAAUUGUGAUUCUAUGGUGAAUCAGAUAUUCGAUUGUAAUCCCCCUUAUCCUCUAUUCACUCUUCUGUUAAAACAGGGAUCUCUUUUCCUCUCUUCUUUACGAACUCAACCCAUGCUUUCUACUCUCUUAUUAAUCAUCAACUCAUAGGUAUGGAACCAAAGGUAACUGACAGCAUCCAAUAACGUCAUAGGAUACCCCUUUUUCCUCUGGUAAUAACUUCCAAGCCUUAUUGCCUCUCGCCCUAUCAACAACUUCUCUAAAUAUUAGUUGUGAAAGAAAACAUCAAUAUGCUAUAAAAGCACAUUAUUAUGGUCUGAAAAGAAGUUAAUUGUGAUGCAAUGGUUAUUGAUAUGAAUUUGGUCUCAUAUAUUUCCCAAUCACAAGGAGCCUAAGUCACGAAUAACAUGGUUGGCCCAACAUGUACAUGAUGUGCUUAUAAUUUAAGGACUUAAAAGAACAUGACAAAAUAUUUUCUUUAAUUAAAGGAUAUUAAUGCAGGCCAAUAAGCAAACUUGGCAUUUACGUUUCAAAGUCAUUUUUAACAUAAUAUGGAUAAACUGGAAGCACAUAAAUAGGAAGGCUCAUGAAGACUCAGACUCAUAGUUCUUGCAGUACUCCUAAAUCUAGGAUUUUGAUUUUGUCAGUUUAAACAAUUUUAGGAUUAAAAAGAGUUUAAGCCUCUGUAGGAAACCAUUUGGAGUACGUCACAAUCAUAGUCAUGAUCAUCAAGCAUUUUCCCAUUUAUUUGAGGCCAUUUGGAGUAGGUUAGUGUCAAAAACAUUAUAGGUCAAAGUAGCCCUUGAGUUCUAAAGUGAUUUUGGAGAUUUUAUGUAUAUAGGACUUGCAGAAACCUGAAUCUUUAUGAAGGUAAUUUUCAUUCUAUGGAUAUUGAUUGAGAGCUCUCUCUCCCCCAUCCUCCAUUUUCUUCUUCUUUUUUUUCCUGUCUUCACAAUUCUUUUUCUUUUCAAUCAAACCCUCUCCCUUUUGCUUUCUUUCCUUCUCGAAAUCAUCCUCUCUAUUUUUCGGAUAAAACUAGUACUUUAUUCCCUUCUAAUAGACAAGUGAAAUCCAUAUUUUAAUUUGUCAUAGCAUACUUUCUCAUAGUUAUGGAUGCAAAGGUACUAAAAAGCAUUUAUUAGACUCCUGGGACUCCCUUUUCUUCUCUCGCCAUAAGCAUAAAUCUUUUCUAGAUUCUAACCCUUUUCCUAUUGUUGGCACUUUCAAGGAAUCAAGGUUAUUGUGAUUCACUACAUCACAUGACAAACUUUAUUGCAGGCCAUCCAUCUCCAUUAAAAUGGAUAGCCUAGGAAAAUCUGAAAUCUAUAACUGUAACCUUCAAGCUUGUUCAAACUACAUAAGGCAAAGUUUGGGAUAUAAGAUAUUCAUCGUACAUAAAUACCAUAUAGUAGCACAAACACCCACUAAAUAUGUAUAUGUAGUAUGUAAACAUUAGAUAACAUCAUAACAAAAGCAUGGCAAGUGCAUGCAUACGCUCAAAUAUAUGAGUUGGGCUACAUGCUAAACUUUAAAAAAUAUUCCAACGCUAAAAAAUAAACGAUUGGUCCUUUAAUCUUGAAAUCCACAAUUUAGAUGGUUAUCUACCCUCGAAUGCCUCCAAACCAAGAAUCAUAUGUUUUAAAAGUCUCUAACUCAUACAUCAAGUGGGUGCAACAAAUAGACAACUUAUUACAGCUUACAUGACAUGAUACAAAAGUUUUCUUUGAUACAAGUAUCAAAAUCUAUUGAAUUCCAAUCUUUCUAUGUCUCAAGAUGCACAGAUCAUAAUUAGACUGCUUAAAUACUAGGCAAGCCGCUUAACCCACUUGAGCCUAGAUCGUUCUGGAUGGGCCUAGGCCUGCUUUUUAAGCCCGAAGGGCCAGGCCGGAAAUUUGAGCCCACCCAUUAAAUGGGUCGGGCUCGGGUUUACAUUGACCCGGCCCGAGCCUGGUAUGUAUGUAUGUAUGUGUAUAUAUAUAUAUAUAUAUAUAUAUAUAUAUAUAAAGCUUCAAUUAUGAACAAAAGAGUACAAGACGCUUAGAGGAAUAUCCUCUCAAGGAAGCUCUCUACUCUCCCUUAAGAAUUUGCUCCAUCCAAAUCCAUGACACCCAGCAAACUCAACCAUCUAGGCUUGAACCUAGACCCCUAAAGCUCAUGCGACUAGAACUUUGCUAAUUGGGGAUGGAAGCAAGGGCUAACGCCACUUGGAAUCGAAUCCCCAAUUGCUCGCUCGAGCUCAAAAGGUAGGAGGUAAUACUAUCCAAGCAAGUGCUCAGUGGUAAUGGGUAAGCAAAACUUGCCCAUUUGUAAUGAAAAAUGGUAGUCUUCAAUUAAGAAAUGGUCACCUACUCAAGAAAAUGGAGACUGGAUUAGGCAGCUGAAAUCUGGACAGGUUAACAAAAGCCAGAAUGCCAUGAAUGACACAUUUUAUUCAUUACAAUGAGCAAAUGCUUCUCAAUAUAAGAACGGUCUACAUGAGUAGACGCUCACUUCUUCCACCCCAGCACCUUCUCUUCCCCAAUGAUCCAUCUAGUCAACCGGCUUGGAUCCUCGGCAAGGGCUUUGCAUGAGGAGGCGAUACCAAGGUCAGCUCCUAUCUGGUCAUACUCCUUCAGAGCCGCUUCCAUCUCGGCUUCUACAAGUGCGUCGUCUGCGCUGUCCAGCCCCAUCCGCAAAGCAUCAGCAUAGUGCUUCUCUUUCUCGGGGUCGUGCUCAAAGGGAUCCAUGACUGGGCCCUGACAAAGUUCAGCAUAAUGCUUGUAAACCUCACAGUUUUCAUCUUGAUCAUAAAUCAAUGUCCCACCAUACCAACUGUUGGUUUCAUCAACAGACGUCAAUGCCAGAUACCUUUUGAAGAUAUCCUCCUCGAACAUGUCACCAGUGCAAGAAAGCCAAUUUAAUUCACCAUAACCAGAAGAACAUAACUCAUCUUGGGUUGCCCCACUUGCAUUUUCUUUCACAGUAACGUUUUUGGCAGGUACACUUUCUUCAUACUUUCUUUGACCAAACAACCAAUUUGGGCUUUUAAGCUGUAUUUCAGCUGCAUCUGGUGCCAUUCCAGGAUUUCCUGCAUUGCCUCUUGCUUUCAGAUCAGAUUCACUGUAAAGCCUCACGUUCUUUAUUAAACUACAUGUUUUCUCUAUCAGUUUAUCAAAUGAAGUCAGUUUCAUCCGAGAGAAGUCUUGUUUGCAUGCUGCAAUUGGUGCAAGAGUAGUUCCAGGUCCUUCCAUGGGCUUUGUAUCAAGUGAUGAACUUUUAUCUGUAUCAGGAACUGGCUCAUCACCAAUCCCUGAAACAUGAAGAUGAUAAUCCGAGUCCAACUCCCAAAGAGCUGGUUUUCCCUCUUGUGGUUGAAAGUAACCUAAAAAUAGGUUUAUCGCAUCUUGCUUUUCACCAUCUGUGUAGGUAUUGCUGUAGUAUCUCUUGAUGGAUUUCAGAAACUCACGAGACUGUGUAGUAGCCCUCCACUUGCCUUGCCUCUCAGGGAAAANNN